This is a long non-coding RNA of Nymphalis io (European peacock), 578 nucleotides long. RefSeq lists it as uncharacterized. The record is from RefSeq and is a predicted model, not a curated record. NCBI's taxonomy places the organism in Eukaryota, Metazoa, Arthropoda, Insecta, Lepidoptera, Nymphalidae. The transcript has 3 exons.
UCGGUUUGUAAGGUGUUGUCAUACGAAAUAUAUCGCAAUUUGUUGUUAUAACGAAGCGAUGAUGUACGUUUUUCCUGAAGAAAAUAUAAUAAGAUAAUUAUUUACAUGAACCAAUUAUUUACGCGAAUAAGUAGCGCCACGGGUACCAUCAUGUGCCCGUUGGUCUACCUAUUAAAAAAACUGCAACUUGCAAGUAAAGCAUAGUGUACAACAAAAGAAAGGAAACAAAUAUGAAAUAAUAACAGGUCUUUAAGAAAUUUUGUCGGCAAGAUAAAAAGAAGAAUAAUUCUCAUGAACAAGAAGAUUAGAAGGUUACAGAAGUUUAGUAUAGUUAGUAAACUAUGGUGGAGUACCACCACGCUGCUUCUAAACGGAUUAUUUGAUACUUUUGGAAUUUCAUCCGGCACAUGCAGGUAUCACGAUGUCCACCACCGACGACGAGAUGGAUUAUACACAAGGACAUCAAAGUGACAGAAGGGCUGGCUCAUUCUUCCAGAGGAUCGGAAUUAUGUUUCAACGGAGAAACGCUGCUAAUAAAUUCGUGCCACCAUUCCACGCGGUCUCAAUUUGAACAGUGA